This 406-nucleotide ribosomal RNA is filed under the name uncultured bacterium. RNAcentral describes it as "partial 16S ribosomal RNA". It matches the Rfam family "Bacterial small subunit ribosomal RNA", at positions 30 to 526 of the family's 1533-position model. The record is from RNAcentral.
AUUGAACGCUGGCGGCAGGCCUAACACAUGCAAGUCGAACGCGUGGCGGACGGGUGAGUCAUGUCUGAACACCUGCCUGAUGGAGGGGGAUAACUACUGGAAACGAUGGCUAAUAGCGCAUACCAUCAGAUGUGCCCAGAUGGGAUUAGCUUGUUGGUGGGGUAACGGCGCACCAAGGCGACGAUCCCUAGCUGGUCUGAGAGGAUUACCGGCCACACUGGAACUGAGACACGGUCCAGACUCCUACGGGAGGCAGCAGUAGGGAAUAUUGCACAAUGUGCGCAAGCCUGACGCAGCAAUGCCGCGUGUAUGAAGAAGGCCUUCGGUUUGUAAAGUACUUUUAUCGGGGAGGCGUUACCCGCCGAAGAAGCACCGGCUAACUCCGUGCCAGCAGCCGCGGUAAUUC